GAAAUGCGAAACGUAAUGUGAAUUGCAGAAUUCCGUGAAUCAUCAAAUCUUUGAACGCAUAUUGCGCUCUCGGGUAUUCCCGGGAGCAUGCUUGUUUGAGUGUCAGUAUCAACCUCAUAGAAAAAUUUUUUUUUUUUUAUGGAUUUGAGCCUGUUUUCAGGUUUGUAAAAGAAUCUGAAUGGCUUCAAAUGUAGAGGAGAAAAAAGAAAAUUCUUUUUGGGAAAAUAUUUUAUUAGACGCAAGUCUUUUUCUAUAAUCCUUUCAUCAAGAGAUCUUUUUGCUUCGCUCGCGGUUGCCUGGCAACUGCAAUAGGGAGUUUUUAUAGCUCUCUGAAAUUUGACCUCAAAUCAAGUAAGACUACCCGCUGAACUUAA
This 374-nucleotide unclassified non-coding RNA is filed under the name uncultured fungus. RNAcentral's name for it is "sequence contains ITS1". The stretch from base 1 to 105 matches the Rfam family "5.8S ribosomal RNA", at positions 50 to 154 of the family's 154-position model. The record is from RNAcentral. Lineage: Eukaryota; Fungi.